This 927-nucleotide ribosomal RNA is filed under the name uncultured bacterium. Its description in RNAcentral is "bacterial SSU rRNA". It matches the Rfam family "Bacterial small subunit ribosomal RNA", at positions 56 to 965 of the family's 1533-position model. The record is from RNAcentral.
UGCAAGUCGAGCGGACUUGAUGGAGCUUGCUCCAUCAAGUUAGCGGCGGACGGGUGAGUAACACGUGGGCAACCUGCCUGUAAGACUGGGAUAACUCCGGGAAACCGGAGCUAAUACCGGAUAGUAUCUUGAACCGCAUGGUUCAAGUUGGAAAGACGGUUUCGGCUGUCACUUACAGAUGGGCCCGCGGCGCAUUAGCUAGUUGGUGAGGUAAUGGCUCACCAAGGCAACGAUGCGUAGCCGACCUGAGAGGGUGAUCGGCCACACUGGGACUGAGACACGGCCCAGACUCCUACGGGAGGCAGCAGUAGGGAAUCUUCCGCAAUGGACGAAAGUCUGACGGAGCAACGCCGCGUGAGUGAUGAAGGUUUUCGGAUCGUAAAACUCUGUUGUUAGGGAAGAACAAGUGCGAGAGUAACUGCUCGCACCUUGACGGUACCUAACCAGAAAGCCACGGCUAACUACGUGCCAGCAGCCGCGGUAAUACGUAGGUGGCAAGCGUUGUCCGGAAUUAUUGGGCGUAAAGCGCGCGCAGGCGGUUUCUUAAGUCUGAUGUGAAAGCCCCCGGCUCAACCGGGGAGGGUCAUUGGAAACUGGGAAACUUGAGUGCAGAAGAGGAGAGUGGAAUUCCACGUGUAGCGGUGAAAUGCGUAGAGAUGUGGAGGAACACCAGUGGCGAAGGCGACUCUCUGGUCUGUAACUGACGCUGAGGCGCGAAAGCGUGGGGAGCGAACAGGAUUAGAUACCCUGGUAGUCCACGCCGUAAACGAUGAGUGCUAAGUGUUAGAGGGUUUCCGCCCUUUAGUGCUGCAGCUAACGCAUUAAGCACUCCGCCUGGGGAGUACGGUCGCAAGACUGAAACUCAAAGGAAUUGACGGGGGCCCGCACAAGCGGUGGAGCAUGUGGUUUAAUUCGAAGCAACCCGAA